CCCAGUAAACGGCGGCCGUAACUAUAACGGUCCUAAGGUAGCGAAAUUCCUUGUCAGGUAAAUUCUGACCCGCACGAAUGGCGUAACGACUUGGGCGCUGUCUCAACGAGAGAUCCGGUGAAAUUUUAAUACCUGUGAAGAUGCAGGUUACCCGCGACAAGACGGAAAGACCCCAUGGAGCUUUACUGCAGCUUGAUAUUGAACUUGGGUACGAUCUGUACAGGAUAGGUGGGAGCCAAAGAGUCAUGAGCGCCAGCUUGUGAGGAGGCGACGUUGGGAUACCACCCUGAUCGUAUCCGUGUUCUAACCCAGUACCGUAAACCGGUACGGGGACCGUGUCAGGUGGGCAGUUUGACUGGGGCGGUCGCCUCCUAAAAAGUAACGGAGGCGCCCUAAGGUUCCCUCAGAAUGGUUGGAAAUCAUUCGCAGAGUGUAAAGGCACAAGGGAGCUUGACUGCGAGACAAACAGGUCGAGCAGGGACGAAAGUCGGGCUUAGUGAUCCGGUGGUACCGAAUGGAAGGGCCAUCGCUCAACGGAUAAAAGCUACCCUGGGGAUAACAGGCUUAUCUCCCCCAAGAGUCCACAUCGACGGGGAGGUUUGGCACCUCGAUGUCGGCUCAUCGCAUCCUGGGGCUGAAGUAGGUCCCAAGGGUUGGGCUGUUCGCCCAUUAAAGCGGUACGCGAGCUGGGUUCAGAACGUCGUGAGACAGUUCGGUCCCUAUCUGUCGUGGGCGCAGGAAAUUUGAGAGGAGCUGUCCUUAGUACGAGAGGACCGGGAUGGACGCACCGCUGGUGUACCAGUUGUCUCGCCAGAGGCAUCGCUGGGUAGCUAUGUACGGAGGGGAUAAGCGCUGAAAGCAUCUAAGCGCGAAGCCCCCCUCAAGAUGAGAUUUCCCAAUUUAGUAAGACCCCUUGUAGACGACGAGGUAGAUAGGUUCGGGGUGGAAGUGCCGCAAGGUAUGGAGCUGACGAAUACUAAUCGGUCGAGGGCUUAUCCAA
RNAcentral lists this ribosomal RNA (1000 nucleotides) under sediment metagenome. RNAcentral describes it as "bacterial LSU rRNA". It matches the Rfam family "Bacterial large subunit ribosomal RNA", at positions 1919 to 2925 of the family's 2925-position model. The record is from RNAcentral.